CAGUGAACGCACAUGAUAUUUUUUCCUGCUCUUGCUUAGAUUUUGGAGGUAUUAUGCUUAAGGACUGAAGGAACAAGCUGGUUUAUGUAUUUGAUUUUUCUUUAUCAGUAGCAAUUACUUAUCCAGACAACACAGGGAUAAUUAAUGUCUCAAAGUAGAUUACAAAGAGUAAUUUUAAUUCUGAAGCGUGUUUUUAAAGUAAUUACAAAGGAUUAAUUUUAAAGUAUUUCUCAUUAAAGGGGAGAGAAAAUAUUACUAGUAUUCACAGUGAAACCUAGGAAACAGGAUUUGAUCUGAAUUCCAAAUCUGUCACUAAGUAAUUUCCUGGCAUAAAAGGUGCCACAGAAUAUGGUUAAUUACUAUCAGAACAUGGACAGAACUACAAACUCAGAAUCUGGCGGCUGCUGGAGCUGCACGCGGUCUGCUGGAGGUCUCCUUGGAGGCCAAUCAGCUCAUUAGGGACGGAACCCAGCCCGUUGACGAGGGAUUUAAACAGCUGCUGGGAGCGCCAGCGACCCGGAGCGGGCAAAGAGGGACACGGUGCUGCAGUUUGCGCGGCGGUCUGUGCAGGAAGGGCAAGCAGGAGGGGCACAGCCACCUCCCAGCUCUCUCAGGGAGAGUAACGAACCCAUUACAAGCCGCUACACGAGAAGUGUAACUGGACUGGUGAAGAACAUGUACCAUGGUGAAGGUAGUCCUGCUUCACUGUUUCAAAACAAAGCCAAAGCACAUUACAGUGCUGUAUGAGCCUGUUUCUCUUAAAUUCACUGCGGUUUCUGCAUUUAAGUGAUGAGAUCAACCUUGGUCCAAUUCUCAUUUUUUUGCUUUGAAGUCACUUAUCUAUGAAUUCAGCAAAUAGCAGUGUCAUUAUUUAGAUCAAACACUUCUCCAGCACACAUGAGGAUCUAGAAAAAACUGCUACAUACCUUCUCCUCUGCCUCUUCACAGAGUAAAACAGGUUACAGUCAAUGCCACAGAAACUGGUAGUGUACUUUUAACAAGCUUUCCCUUCCAGUGGCCUUCACACCUCACUCUUAAGGCCUCGAUUUAAACACAUGACUAACAAUGGAUACACAGUAGAGCUCUGAAUGAGGUUAAAAAAUUCUUCAGUGGUUCUAAGUAUGAUUUUAAUAUGAGAAAAGAACUUGCCCUUUCUUACCAUUAUGCUUUUAAACUUUUGUUUUUCAACUAGUUUUUAGUUGAAUGUACAUUAGUGAAGUUAAGGCCAAACAUGUCUUGCUUACAAGCAACUAUGCAAAAGUCUUACCCGUUAUUUUUCCCAACAUAUUUCCUCAUGUCCCACGAGGGAACUAUUUUAAGGUAGAAAGAGGAGUUAAAACAGCCCUUUACUCUAUUCUGAGUCAAAACAAAUUGCAACAGGUUUUCAGAUUCCAAUGCUGCAGCUUAAACACACCAUGUGCUGAGGAUGGGUCCAUGUUGUCUGGCAAGUCAUGACAAAUUCUAGAGGGUAAAACAAGGUUUAUUUGUUAUGCUACCACUGCUGUUCCUAACCCAGCAGAGGCAAACAUUCCCCCCCCCCCCCCGAAAAACCAACACACUUGUGUUCUUAUACCAGACACAUGAAGUGCUAAAGUUCUACUGGUCCUAUCCAAAUUCCACUGUAAAGCUAAUUAUCAGAUGCAUGCAGUGAGCAUACUCACACAUCAAACUAUAUUCAGCAUUAAUCUGUUGAACUAUGGACUUUAUUCCCUUCCCACCACCAAAAAAAAAAGCUUUGUUAGACAAGACAGUUGUAUUGAAUUCACUUCCUUUUAUUGCAGUGACAUCCCCCAGUACAAAGUUUUAACUGCAAUAAUUACGUUAAAACAUUAGAAAAGCAUUUGUGUGACAGUUACAGUACAGUGUCAAAUCUUACAUCUUCAAACCAAGUGGGCCAUGACCCACUGAACGCUCAAAUCCUUUAAAUUAUUUUCAGUUAUUUUUAAAUAUGCAAUGUCAGAAAAAGCAUAUAAAAAGAAUGUAUGUAAAAGGAAACCUAAAUACAGUGAGCAAAUAAAUAAUUGAUUUUUGCCAGCUAUUACUAUCUUUCUAAGCCCAUACCAAGGAACCUAAUCUACAGAAGGUAUGAAUUGCCAUGUGUAAGCGAUUUGAUUUUCCACGUAAUUAAUGAUGAUUGGAACAUAAGUAAAUUUGGCGUCAAAAUCAAAGCAGAAGUUGGAGUGACUGCUGCUAACUGAUAUCUGUUGCAAAUAAUUACCAUUAAUUGUUCAAAUUUUAGUGAGCAAAUGAUCUUGAAAAACUUGGCCUCCUGCCCAGCAUUAGUGAACUCCUGAGAGUGCAUGUGAAAAGCAUUCUAUCUUAUUUUGCAGACAUUACCUUAACUAUCCCCAUAUGCAUAUUUAGAUAUAUUUUAUAUAAUUUUAUACACAUAUAUGCAUGUACACACACACACACUUCAUUUGGUUUCUGUGUUGUGUUACAGAUCACAAGCAAUGGUUUCGUGAAUGGGCAAAUAAACGCCUUAAAUAAGUGUACCUGUGCAUGUUUGUUUUUUAAGAUAGCAGCACUAAGUCCAUGCCAUACUGUCCAUCUGUUCAAAAGAAUGUUUCCCACAAACCAACAAGAAACAUGGCAAUGAUUCUAUAUGCACAAUGUGACAACCUCAUCUCCUAAAAGAACACUGUAAAACCUGUGACAGAUAUGUUGGUAAAUUUGAUCCAAACUCCAUCACCUGGAAGGAAACACCACUUUUACUGCAAACUGUCUUUGUCUUACAAUGUUUAUCAUAACAAGCUGGGUUCAUGCUGGCAUCAGUUAUCUCACACUUAGCAGCAAAACAUGCAUGUUUGUUUUUCUUAAGUUUUUCAAAGUGAAAUGAUUCAGUAAUAGUUUCAAAUCCAAAUGACAGAAACAGCAAAAAAACCCCAAUAAACAAAAAGCCAAACCAAACCAACCAAACAAAAAAGACUUUUUGCAGUUCACCAAGAACUUGACAACAGUGUAUACUGCACAGUGUAGAAUAUUUUAAUCUUUAAUCACAAGUUGAAGCUCUACCUUGCCACACAAUGAUUAUGCUUUGUCCUUCAAAAGGAACAGUUACAUUUCAAUUUGAUCCUGCAUUUAGCAAAACAAACAAACAAAAAACCCACAAAACACCUUUUCUGUGCAUCCUUAAAUGAAAGUCACUCACCCACUGGUAAACUGAUCCAGUAGCAUGUCCAAUAAUAAUAUCAAAAACUUGUGAAAUGUUUUUAGGCAAUCCUUUCUAUCCAAAAUAUAUUAGGAAUUUAAAAAACAGUUCACAUUACUAACCUUUAUAUAAAGGCUCAAGUGAAAUUUCUUUUGCAGGUGUUCAUAGUAGACUAAAUUAUGAAGUUUUCAAAAUAUACAAUGAAAGGGCACACAAGACUGGCAGUUUUUUUAGUGAACAUAGAAAAUGUAUAAAGUAAGAUGUAUGGAAUAGAUCAAAAUAGCUGGACAAUCAAACCUGAGUAUUAUUUAAUAAGACUAAAUGUAUUUUCUGACAACUGAACAAAUUGACCUAAAACAUCUCCCCUAAUAACUAGUGGUCCUUUUAACCAUUUGUUGAAAAAUGCGAGAGAACUGCAGCUUUUACAUUUCAUAUUGGAUAGCACAAUUCCACAUAGUGUUUACUGUUUUCUGUUAGAUAGCAUCACAUUGCUUCUAUUAUCCCCAUUCAAGCCUUAAGUUGA
Molecule: long non-coding RNA, 3674 nt
Organism: Pseudopipra pipra
Lineage: Eukaryota; Metazoa; Chordata; Aves; Passeriformes; Pipridae
Exons: 2
Source: RefSeq, a predicted model, not a curated record